This 946-nucleotide ribosomal RNA is filed under the name uncultured bacterium. RNAcentral describes it as "bacterial SSU rRNA". It matches the Rfam family "Bacterial small subunit ribosomal RNA", at positions 8 to 916 of the family's 1533-position model. The record is from RNAcentral.
AGAGUUUGAUCCUGGCUCAGGAUGAACGCUGGCGGCGUGCUUGAUACAGGCAAGUCGAACGGGUUGGCUAGGGGCCAAAGCCUUGGGCGGGGCGGAAGAUGAGAAAUCGUUGGACGCUUCAGAAGGGGUAGAGGUCUUGGUGCUGGCCAGUGGCGUACGGGUGCGUAACACGUAGGUAAUCCACCCUCAAGUGGGGAAUAACUGUUCGAAAGGGCAGCUAAUUCCGCAUGUGGUCCGUGAGGAAGAAAGGGCGAAAGCUCGCUUGAGGACGAGCCUGCGGCCGAUUAGCUAGUUGGUGAGGUAACGGCCCACCAAGGCGAUGAUCGGUAGCUGGUCUGAGAGGACGAUCAGCCACACUGGAACUGGAACACGGUCCAGACUCCUACGGGAGGCAGCCGCAAGGAAUAUUGCACAAUGGGGGGAACCCUGAUGCAGCAACGCCGCGUGGGCGAUGAAGGCCUUCGGGUUGUAAAGCCCUUUUCUAGAGGAAGAGAGCAAGGACGGUACUUUAGGAAUAAGUCUCGGCUAACUACGUGCCAGCAGCCGCAGUAAAACGUAGGAGACGAGCGUUAUCCGGAUUUACUGGGCGUAAAGGGCAAGUAGGCGGUUUUCAAAGUUGGACGUGACAAUUCUCGGCUUAACUGGGAGGGGUCGUCCAAAACUAGGGAACUAGAGGGCAGGAGAGGGGAGUGGAAUUCCUAGUGUAGCGGUGGAAUGCUUAGAGAUUAGGAAGAACACCAGUGGCGAAGGCGGCUCUCUGGCCUGACCCUGACGCUGAGAGGCGAAAGCUAGGGGAGCGAACGGGCUUAGAUACCCCGGUAGUCCUAGCUGUAAACGUUGGGUACUGGGUAUUGGGGGGCAACAAACCCUCAGUGCCGAAGCGAACGCGUUAAGUACCCCGCCUGGGGACUACGGCCGCAAGGUUAAAACUCAAAGGAAUUGACGG